GAUUCCCUUAGUAGGGGCGACCGAAGCGGGAAAAGCCCAAACUGUAAAUCUCGGGCCCUCGGUCCGCGAAUUGUAAUCUGGAGAUGUUCAGGCUAACGGGAGAAGACGUAUAAGUGUGCGCGAGAGCACCGCCAGAGAGGGUGAGAGCCCCGUAUGUGACGUCUUUUCUCACCGGCCUGGGUGUCGAAGAGUCGUGUACUCUGAUACGAGUGCACUAAGCGGGAGAUAAACUUCUUCUAAGGCUAAAUAUAUGUAGGAAACCGAUAGCGAACAAGUACUGUGAAGGAAAGAUGAAAAGCACUUUGGAAAGAGAGUUAAAAGACUUGAAAUCGUUGAGGCGGAAGCGGUAGAAAUGAAUUCUACUGCAGUCGCUAGAGGGCCUGCGAAAACAUAAGCGGGUCUGUAUGGGGCUGCUGUGAGGCAAGAUGGGGUCGUGCGACGCGAGAAACGUGCCAGGUUCUCCUGGUGCAUAUGCGCGACGCGCGGCCUGAGGGGCUUCGAGCGAUCUUGCCAAAAUGGUUUUUACCGACCCGUCUUGAAACACGGACCAAGGAGUCUAAGACCAACGCGAGUAUGGUGGUGGAAAAACCAACAUGCGCAAUGAAAGUGACUGAUGCCAACUUAGCAGCAUCGACCGACCAUGAUCCUCUGGAGAAAGGUUUGAGUAUGAGCGUUGUUCUUAGGACCCGAAAGAUGGUGAACUAUGCCUGAGUAGGGCGAAGUCAGGGGAAACUCUGAUGGAGGCUCGUAGCGAUACUAACGUGCAAAUUGUUCGUAGAACUUUGGUAUAGGGGCGAAAGACUAAUCGAACCAUCUAGUAGCUGGUUCCCUCCGAAGUUUCCCUCAGGAUAGCUGGGACAAGUACGCAGUUUUAUUAGGUAAAGCGAAUGAUUAGAGGUAUGGGGGGUAUUAUGCCCUUCACCUAUUCUCAAACUUUAAAUUGGUAAGAGCUCUGGCCUUUCUUAAUUGAGGCACAGAGAUUCAAUGCGUGUCCUUAGUGGGCCAUUUUUGGUAAGCAGAACUGGCGAUGAGGGAUGCUCCUAACGUUAGGUUAAGGUGCCAAACUACACGCUCAUCAGAUACCACAAAGGUUGUUAGUUCAUCCAGACAGCAGGACGGUGGCCAUGGAAGUCGGAAUCCGCUAAGGAGUGUGUUACAACUCACCUGCCGAAUGAACUAGUGCCGAAAAUGGAUGGCGCUAAAGCGUGUGACCGAUACCUAACCAUUGGCGCGAGAGUGAGGUGCCAAUGAGUAGGAGGGCGUGAGCGUCGUGGUGAAGCCUCUGGCGUGAGCCUGGGUGAAACGGCGUUUAGUGCAGAUCUUGGUGGUAGUAGCAAUUAUUCAAAUGAGAACUUUGAAGGCCGACGUGGAGAAGGUUUCCGUGAGAACAGCAAUUGGUCACGGGUGACUCGAUCCUAAGACAUGGGGGAACUCCCUGUUAAAUGUGCGCUUGCACUCAGUCGAAAGGGAAUGAGGUUAAUAUUCCUCAAGCUGGAUAUGGGCGUUAAAUGGCAACAUUUUAACGAACUUCAAGACAUCAGCACGAGCCUCUGGAAGAGUUAUCUUUUCUUUUUAACAAGCUAGCGUCCCUGAAAUUGGUUUACCCAGAGAUAGGGAGGUAUGCUUGGAAGAGCACUUCGCUUUUUGGAGUGUCAGGUGCGCUCGUGAUGGUCCAUGAAAAUGAAGUGAGAUA
Molecule: ribosomal RNA, 1693 nt
Filed under: Pelagostrobilidium simile
Lineage: Eukaryota; Ciliophora; Spirotrichea; Choreotrichida; Strobilidiidae
Description: partial large subunit ribosomal RNA
Rfam family: Eukaryotic large subunit ribosomal RNA
Source: RNAcentral